Long non-coding RNA from Sinocyclocheilus grahami, 1372 nucleotides. The record is from Ensembl. NCBI's taxonomy places the organism in Eukaryota, Metazoa, Chordata, Actinopteri, Cypriniformes, Cyprinidae.
CAGGUGGACCUGGCCGAUGAGUUUAGAGAGGGGCUUUCCUUCUCGCGCUCAUCGGCGGGGGGCGAGAGACAGCCACUGGAGGAUGAUGUUCUCUCUUUAACAUCAUCUGAUCCAGGGGCCAGUGCUCUGCUGGGUUCAGCCCAGGAAGAGCAGGAAAUGGAUGAUGAGAGCGAAGAAGCUGAGGCUGAGCCUUCUCAAUCCUCCUGCCCUGCGUAUGAUGAGCUCUUAGAGGUUAUGGAUCGCGCCACGGCAAGACUUGACUUGCCAUGGAAGCGGACUAAGGAAGUGGCGUCGCGAGGUCGUCUCGACGAACGUUAUCUUUCUGGCCAUAACCCUCCAGCUCAGGUGAGUCUUCCUUUCCUUCCUGAUCUCCAUACUGAGAUCGAGAAGGAAUGGAAGAAGCCGUUUUCCUCACGCAUCCAUCGGUUUCAGCAUACCAGUUAUGCGAAUAUCGAGGCGGUGCGCGAAAACGGCUAUGAGAGAAUGCCCCCUGUAGAAGAGACGCUAGCUAGCUAUCUCUCUAUGGGAGAGACAUCAUCUCUCAAAACUCCCUCCUUGCCAUCCAUGCCUCUUCAAGCUACAUCUAAAAUGAAUGGCAAGGCAUACGCAGCAGCAGGUCAGGCUGUUGCUUCACUGCACACGAUGGCGGUGCUUCAAGCAUACCAGGCUGAUCUGCUGAAAGACCUGGAUAAAGGCGAGGGCCUUUCUUCUGAUGAGAUGGCUGAGUUACGCCGCACCACGGAUCUUGCUCUUCGUGCUACUAAGCAGGCUGCCUCUGCCAUGGGCAGAUCUAUGGCAGCGAUGGUAGUAACGGAGAGGCAGCUGUGGGUAAACCUGGCAGACAUCGGGAAGAAAGAAAGGGGUUUUCUUCUCGAUGCCCCGGUUUCGCCCUCUGAACUUUUUGGUACAUCCGUUGAGACGGUCAUCGAAAAGUUCAGGGAGGCGAAGGCACGCUCAGCGGCCUUCAAAACCUUCAUUCCACGAAGGUCCAGGUCUGAGCCCGAACAACCCAGGGGUCCUGGCCCGUCUCGAUUUGAGGAUCAGAGACGAGCACAGAAGGCUAGUGUCGCGACUCGCGCUCCUCCUCCGCCUGCGGGUAGGGGUAGGAAGUAUCGUGGGUCGAAGGGAGGUAGGCAAGACCUGAGGGAUGUGAUCCAGACAAGGCGUCAGAGCUUUCGUCCGGAUCAGAGUAAUACUUAGGUAUCCACUCUUUCCCUCAGGGGGUGUAACAUCUACCCCUUUCUUCCCCUUCCUAAUUCCCCUGUAACCACCAUAUCGCCACCUGACCGAGGUCAGGUGGAAGCUUCCUGCAUAACAGUCUCCUUCUGGACCUAUGAUGUUUUGGUUGGUUCUAUGGUUAUCAUAGUAACCA